This 492-nucleotide ribosomal RNA is filed under the name uncultured bacterium. RNAcentral describes it as "partial 16S ribosomal RNA". It matches the Rfam family "Bacterial small subunit ribosomal RNA", at positions 29 to 507 of the family's 1533-position model. The record is from RNAcentral.
AGUGAACGCUGGCGGUAGGCCUAACACAUGCAAGUCGAACGACAGCACCGUAAGAGCUUGCUCUUACGGGUGCCGAGUGGCGAACAGGUGGGGAAUACAUCGGAAUCUACUUUUUCGUGGGGCAUGGCGUCGGGAACCUUUCGCUAAUACCGCCUACGACCUCCGGGUGGACGCAGGAAAUCUUCGUACGUUGUGCGAUUGCAUGAGCCGAUGCGGGAUUAGCUAGUUGUCGGGGUAAAGGCCCACCAAGGCGACGAUCCGUAGCUGGUCUGAGAGGAUGAUAGGCCACACUGGAACUGAAACACGGACAAGACUACUGCGGGAGGCAGCAGUGGGGAAUAUUGGACAAUGGGCGCAAGCCUGAUCCAGCCAGACCGCGUGGGUGAAGAAGGCGUUCGGGUUGUAAAGCCCUUUUGUUGGGAAAGAAAAGCAGCAGGUUAAGACCCCGCUGUUCUGACGGUACCCAAAGAAUAAGCACCGGCUAACUUCGUG